AUUGAACGCUGGCGGCAGGCCUAACACAUGCAAGUCGAGCGGAUGAAGGGAGCUUGCUCCUGGAUUCAGCGGCGGACGGGUGAGUAAUGCCUAGGAAUCUGCCUGGUAGUGGGGGAUAACGUCCGGAAACGGGCGCUAAUACCGCAUACGUCCUGAGGGAGAAAGUGGGGGAUCUUCGGCCCUCUCGCUAUCAGAUGAGCCUAGGUCGGAUUAGCUAGUUGGUGGGGUAAAGGCCUACCAAGGCGACGAUCCGUAACUGGUCUGAGAGGAUGAUCAGUCACACUGGAACUGAGACACGGUCCAGACUCCUACGGGAGGCAGCAGUGGGGAAUAUUGGACAAUGGGCGAAAGCCUGAUCCAGCCAUGCCGCGUGUGUGAAGAAGGUCUUCGGAUUGUAAAGCACUUUAAGUUGGGAGGAAGGGCAGUAAGUUAAUACCUUGCUGUUUUGACGUUACCAACAGAAUAAGCACCGGCUAACUUCGUG
This 484-nucleotide ribosomal RNA is filed under the name uncultured bacterium. RNAcentral's name for it is "partial 16S ribosomal RNA". It matches the Rfam family "Bacterial small subunit ribosomal RNA", at positions 30 to 507 of the family's 1533-position model. The record is from RNAcentral.